GCCUGGCUAGCUCAAUCGGUAGAGCGUGAGACUCUUAAUCUCAAGGUUGCGGGUUCGACCCCCGCGUUGGGCU
Non-coding RNA from Furculomyces boomerangus, 73 nucleotides. NCBI's taxonomy places the organism in Eukaryota, Fungi, Kickxellomycota, Harpellomycetes, Harpellales, Harpellaceae. The record is from the annotation of a GenBank genome assembly.